RNAcentral lists this ribosomal RNA (246 nucleotides) under uncultured bacterium. RNAcentral's name for it is "partial 16S ribosomal RNA". It matches the Rfam family "Bacterial small subunit ribosomal RNA", at positions 1259 to 1500 of the family's 1533-position model. The record is from RNAcentral.
GAAGGCAAGCGGAUCUCUUAAAGCUGUUCUCAGUUCGGACUGCAGUCUGCAACUCGACUGCACGAAGCUGGAAUCGCUAGUAAUCGCGGAUCAGCACGCCGCGGUGAAUACGUUCCCGGGCCUUGUACACACCGCCCGUCACACCAUGGAAGUCUGCAAUGCCCGAAGCCGGUGGCCUAACCACUUAUGUGGAAGGAGCCGUCUAAGGCAGGGCAGAUGACUGGGGUGAAGUCGUAACAAGGUAGC